This 469-nucleotide ribosomal RNA is filed under the name uncultured bacterium. Its description in RNAcentral is "partial 16S ribosomal RNA". It matches the Rfam family "Bacterial small subunit ribosomal RNA", at positions 28 to 507 of the family's 1533-position model. The record is from RNAcentral.
GAUGAACGCUGGCGGCGUGCUUAACACAUGCAAGUCGAACGGUGAAGCUCCAGCUUGCUGGAGUGGAUCAGUGGCGAACGGGUGAGUAACACGUGGGCAACCUGCCCCUGACUCUGGGAUAACAGCCGGAAACGGCUGCUAAUACCGGAUAUGCACCAUGAACGCAUGUUCUGUGGUGGGAAAGAUUUUUCGGUUGGGGAUGGGCUCGCGGCCUAUCAGCUUGUUGGUGAGGUAAUGGCUCACCAAGGCGUCGACGGGUAGCCGGCCUGAGAGGGUGACCGGCCACACUGGGACUGAGACACGGCCCAGACUCCUACGGGAGGCAGCAGUGGGGAAUAUUGCACAAUGGGCGAAAGCCUGAUGCAGCAACGCCGCGUGAGGGAUGACGGCCUUCGGGUGGUAAACCUCUUUUAGCAGGGAAGAAGCGAGAGUGACGGUACCUGCAGAAAAAGCGCCGGCUAACUACGUG